RNAcentral lists this ribosomal RNA (484 nucleotides) under uncultured bacterium. RNAcentral's name for it is "partial 16S ribosomal RNA". It matches the Rfam family "Bacterial small subunit ribosomal RNA", at positions 30 to 507 of the family's 1533-position model. The record is from RNAcentral.
AUUGAACGCUGGCGGCAGGCCUAACACAUGCAAGUCGAGCGGAUGAAGGGAGCUUGCUCCUGGAUUCAGCGGCGGACGGGUGAGUAAUGCCUAGGAAUCUGCCUGGUAGUGGGGGAUAACGUCCGGAAACGGGCGCUAAUACCGCAUACGUCCUGAGGGAGAAAGUGGGGGAUCUUCGGACCUCACGCUAUCAGAUGAGCCUAGGUCGGAUUAGCUAGGUGGUGGGGUAAAGGCCUACCAAGGCGACGAUCCGUAACUGGUCUGAGAGGAUGAUCAGUCACACUGGGACUGUGACCCGGUACAGACGCCUACGGGAGGCAGCUGGGGGGAAUAUUGGAGAAUGGGCGGAAGCCUGAUCCAGCCAUGCCGCGUGUGUGAAGAAGGUCUUCGGAUUGUAGAGCACUUUAAGUUGGGAGGAAGGGCAGUAAGUUAAUACCUUGCUGUUUUGACGGGACCUACAGAAUAAGCACCGGCUAACUUCGUG